UCUUGAACUCCAGGGCGGAUAGCUGAGUAACACGUGGCUAACCUACCCUAUGGAUGAGGAUAACCUCGCUAACGUGAGGCUAAUACUCAAUAGAAAAGGAGUACUGGAAAUGUCUCCUUUUUGAAACGUUACGACGCCAUAGGAUGGGGCCGCGGCUGAUUAGGUAGUUGGUGAGGUAAUGGCUCACCAAGCCAGUAAUCAGUAGUAGACGUGAGAGCGUUAGCUACCAGUCGUGUUCUGAGACAAGAACACGGACCCUACGGGGUGCAGCAGGCGCGAAACCUUUACAAUGCACGCAAGUGCGAUAAGGGGACUCCGAGUGUGGUCUUCCUACACGGAAGGCCACUUUUCUUUACUGUAAGGAGGUAUCGGAACAAGGGGUGGGCAAUACUGCUGCCAGCCGCCGCGGUAAUAGCAGAACCCCAAGUGGUAGCCACUUUUAUUGGGCUUAAAGUGUUCGUAGCCGGCCGUGUAAGUCUGCUGUGAAAUCCACGCGCUCAACGUGUGGAAGUGCAGCGGAUACUGCAUGGCUAGGAACCGGAUGGCGUCGAGGCUAUUCCAGGGGUAGGAGUGAAAUCCAAAAAUCCCUGGAGGAGCACCUGUGGCGAAAGCGCUCGACGAAUACGGAUUCGACGGUGAGGAACGAAAGCCAGGGGAGCAAAGGGGAUUAGAUACCCUCGUAGUCCUGGCCGUUAACUAUGUUCGUUUGAUGU
RNAcentral lists this ribosomal RNA (713 nucleotides) under uncultured archaeon. Its description in RNAcentral is "bacterial SSU rRNA". It matches the Rfam family "Archaeal small subunit ribosomal RNA", at positions 68 to 774 of the family's 1478-position model. The record is from RNAcentral.